RNAcentral lists this ribosomal RNA (301 nucleotides) under uncultured bacterium. Its description in RNAcentral is "partial 16S ribosomal RNA". It matches the Rfam family "Bacterial small subunit ribosomal RNA", at positions 509 to 808 of the family's 1533-position model. The record is from RNAcentral.
CAGCCGCGCGGUAAUACGGAGGGUGCAAGCGUUAAUCGGAAUUACUGGGCGUAAAGCGCACGCAGGCGGUUUGUUAAGUCAGAUGUGAAAUCCCCGGGCUCAACCUGGGAACUGCAUUUGAAACUGGCAAGCUAGAGUCUCGUAGAGGGGGGUAGAAUUCCAGGUGUAGCGGUGAAAUGCGUAGAGAUCUGGAGGAAUACCGGUGGCGAAGGCGGCCCCCUGGACGAAGACUGACGCUCAGGUGCGAAAGCGUGGGGAGCAAACAGGAUUAGAUACCCCUGUAGUCCCUGUCUCUUAUACA